UCCAGACUCGUGUGUGGCUGCUUGCGCAGCUGCUCCGUGCCAGGCUUGGAGGACCAGGAGAAGGGGUAGUCACUUGCCACAGCUGGAGGCUGGAGCGUGUGGCACCACGGCUCGCCUCGCUGUGGUGGGUGCUGGCGACAGAGACGGCAGCUCGGCUGGACUGCUCUGUUUUUACCCUUUCUCCGGGCUGUUAUUGUCAUACAAAUUACAUCUUUAUACAUGUUGUGCUGAACAACAAGUCGAUUUGUAGGUGUUUCUUUGUGAAGUUAUCCUCUAAAUCAGAUUUGCUGAGAUUUGUUUUGUGGCCUAACAUCUGAUCUACCCUGAAGACACUUCCAUGUGCUGAUGGGGAGAAUGCAUACUCUUCAACUGUUGAGUGGGAUGUUCUGUGAAUAUCUGGUAAAAAAACUGAGGCUUAGAAACAUUGAAAAAAACUUGCUCAACGUUGCAAAACAAGAAAUUUGUGACACUGGAAUUGACAUCUACAAGGGACUGAUGUAACUAAUUGCUGGAUACAUGUCCCUCAAAGACACAGAAACAGAUCUUGUAUUCUAGUGGAUCUCCGGCACCCAGUGAGGGCCUGAAACAGAGUACAUGUCCAACAAAUAAUUAUUGAAGUAAAGAUUGACAUUUCAGGAGCAGAGAUUAAUAUUCAAAAACAAAGAUGAGAAUUUUGGCAGAAAAGUCAAAAUGAGGUUCCAACGUGGCUCAACAUGGCAGUUGCUGAUCCUGACUUUGCUUAAAAUUUGGUACUUUGUUUAUCACAAAUUUUAAAAUUAAUUUUGAUUUCUCAAAAUAUUGAUUAAAAUGUUUAUCUCUA
Molecule: long non-coding RNA, 820 nt
Filed under: Homo sapiens (human)
Lineage: Eukaryota; Metazoa; Chordata; Mammalia; Primates; Hominidae
Description: HSALNT0393202
Source: RNAcentral